This is a long non-coding RNA of Panicum hallii, 1062 nucleotides long. RefSeq lists it as uncharacterized. The transcript has 2 exons. The record is from RefSeq and is a predicted model, not a curated record. Lineage: Eukaryota; Viridiplantae; Streptophyta; Magnoliopsida; Poales; Poaceae.
CCACCUCCUUCCUUUCACUCUUCUUUGUUUUCCUUUUUAGCCGACGCCACACUUACAGUAGGUACAUCGAGACCUAUCCAAUAACCAUCUCCCACGCCCCACCGCUGUUGGCGAGACCUUGCUAGCACUCCUCCUUUGUCCAAUACCCACCUCUCCUUCAUCCUCUUUUGCCUACUUAGGGCUUAUUCCUCUUUAACUUCAGCGGCUCUUGACCUCGUAUGUUUUCGACGGCUCCCAUCGCCAAAUCCAUGGUCAUAGCAACUCUGGUCACCAAGUCUGGUGUCACUUGCAAUUCCCGUCGACUGAUCUAUGGUGACUAGCGGUUCUUGCCACCAAAUACGGUGCCACCGACGAUUCUUGAUGUCAGAUUCGCAAUCAUCGAUCACUUCCUUCACCGGAUCCGUGGUUAUUGGUCACUCCUGCCACCAGAUCGAUGGUAAAUCGAUCUCUCCCUCUUUUAGAUCCGCGGUCACCAGCAGCUGCUGCCGCCAGAUCCAUGGUAAUCAUCCCCUUCCACCACCAGAUCCAUGAUGAUCGAUCGCUCCCCGCAGCCAAGCUCGUGGGCAUCGGUCGCCGCCACCGCCAGAUCUGCAGUCAUCAGUUGCUCCGUGCUGCCAAACUCGCGGUCAUUAGUGGACAUCAAUCACCAAUAACACUUCACUAACUGUCAUCGACAUAUUACUGACUAGCCUCCCUGGCGUCCUCUAAAUCCAGACAUGUCAAGCUUUGUUCAGGGGAGCAUACUGGUUGCGAUUUUGAUCCCUGCUACAGCGUGAGGAUAUAAUGAAGACUAUCUGUUUGGCAAGCAAGGCAUUGGAGUUUGUCGUCUUGGAUAUCUUUGCCAAGAAUGGAUGGAAAAUCAGUAAUAGACUUGGAUAUCUUUGCUAAGAAUGGAUGGAGAAUCAAUAAUAGACUUUGCUUUGGAUUCCUUCAAGUCGUUUGUGUACUCUUUUCACUAUUUUUUCAGUUUAUGUGCUGAGAAUUUUUAAAAACUUAGCUGUAUGUGGUUGCAGAGGCUGGAGACGUUUCUUUUUCUAAAAAAUAUAUCAAUCCUUCGGCACA